This 440-nucleotide ribosomal RNA is filed under the name uncultured bacterium. Its description in RNAcentral is "partial 16S ribosomal RNA". It matches the Rfam family "Bacterial small subunit ribosomal RNA", at positions 338 to 795 of the family's 1533-position model. The record is from RNAcentral.
CCUACGGGCGGCAGCAGUGGGGAAUAUUGCACAAUGGGGGAAACCCUGAUGCAGCGACGCCGCGUGAGUGAAGAAGUAAUUCGUUAUGUAAAGCUCUAUCAGCAGGGAAGAAAAUGACGGUACCUGAGUAAGAAGCCCCGGCUAACUACGUGCCAGCAGCCGCGGUAAUACGUAGGGGGCAAGCGUUAUCCGGAUUUACUGGGUGUAAAGGGAGCGUAGACGGCAGUGCAAGUCUGGAGUGAAAGGGGGGGGCUCAAACCCCGGACUGCUCUGGAAACUGUACGGCUGGAGUGCAGGAGUGGUAAGUGGAAUUCCUAGUGUAGCGGUGAAAUGCGUAGAUAUUAGGAGGAACACCAGUGGCGAAGGCGGCUUACUGGACUGUAACUGACGUUGAGGCUCGAAAGCGUGGGGAGCAAACAGGAUUAGAUACCCCUGUAGUC